AAAGUCCUAGCUUAAUUAAAGCACCUGAGUUGCAUUCAGGAGAUGUAGGGUAAUAUCUUACGGACUUUA
This 69-nucleotide transfer RNA is filed under the name Terpsiphone atrocaudata. Its description in RNAcentral is "tRNA-Ala". It matches the Rfam family "tRNA". Rfam says of the family: Transfer RNA (tRNA) molecules are approximately 80 nucleotides in length. Their secondary structure includes four short double-helical elements and three loops (D, anti-codon, and T loops). The record is from RNAcentral. Lineage: Eukaryota; Metazoa; Chordata; Aves; Passeriformes; Monarchidae.